Molecule: long non-coding RNA, 3006 nt
Organism: Numida meleagris (helmeted guineafowl)
Lineage: Eukaryota; Metazoa; Chordata; Aves; Galliformes; Numididae
Exons: 3
Source: RefSeq, a predicted model, not a curated record
UGCUUAAGAGCCAUUAUGAGCUGUAAUUUCUUCAAGAGAACUGGAGUGCUUUCUUCAUUGACGCAAAUGGUUUUUUUGUAUGAAAGAUGGCAUGGAGAUGCCUAUAUUCCUCCCAGUACAGCUGUUGGACCAUCACUUGAUUUAUACUGCACAUCAUCAUGCCCAGAUGGGAUGUGUCCAUCUCUCAGGCUGCAUGAGGACACCAAGACCCUUCAGGACCUAUGCACUGCUCCACCUCUGCAGAGUCCUUGGUCCCUCUGAAGCAUGGGCUGCAAUUGAAGAACAGUCAGGUGUGCAGAGCAGUCCCUUCAGAAGCCCCCAUGGGAUUUAGGACUUGGGAACCCCUGCUGCAAACAAAUGAAGGCUGAGGCUUGGGCCAUCUGAGUAGAGUUCUUAGAAGUCAGAUGUGCUGCAAAAGUCAUUUAGCAAUAACCCUGUGGCAAGUACAAAGGAAGAGCAUCUUAGCACUGAAUUAUUUUGGGGAGAAAGUACUUAAAAUUUGCACUAGAAACUUUUCCUUCUAGGAUGUUUUAAUCUUAGAGCAAUGCUAAUCUUAAGAUCUCAAGACAAGAAUACUGAUCUACUUUCAUUUUCUAUUUGAAAAACAUUGUUACUUGAAGAAAAACUUUCAGGCAUAAUUUUAAGUACUUAACAAUAUUGUGUUAAUGGUCAUUAUGAAGAAAGAUGCUCCAAAUACAUUGUGUAUUUUCGUCAGUGUCUGAUUCUCUGCUAGUGAUAAAGCUUUCUUAAUACAGCUUAGUAAUAUUGUGUAAAGGGAUUCAGGGGCACUUGACAGAAUACACAAAGUGUAUGGUUAUAUGUGAUGCGUAGUAUUGCACAGAAUUUUCCAAGCCUCAUAAAUGCUGUGACUCCUUUCUUCAAGAUUUACUUGUCUAGCAAUUUUGAAGCUGCCUUUAUCCCUGUGUAAUGGCUGCAGAAGUCUCUGCCAAAGAGGAAGGUGAAUAGGCUCUAGGAUCAGCUUGGACAAUUUACAUGACUUUCUAGUAUGUAUGGUGUGUUCUCCCAGGGUUUUCAGGGUGAUUGUGCCCAUUUAUUUUUCUCCAGUGAAAAUAUUCAUCUUUUGGAUGGAGAGAAACUCAGUGUUCAUGCAGCAGAAAUAAAUAGGCAGGCAAAGCUGUGUCUUGAUGAAGCAUAUUGUUUUUUGCAGUAUAGUUAAUUUACAAAUACUUGGUCAUUAUUGAAGAGACUGUGGGUAUCCUUGCUCACUUCUGAUUCAGACCGUUUCACCUUCUAUGAGUAGUUCUGCUUAUGCAAGUAACAUGGAGAGAUACCAAGGGUGUUUCUCAGAUAUCUGGGUUUAACUUGCUGCAAUCGUGUGUGCCAGUUGUUGUCUUGCCUAUAAAUGAACUGACCAAGUGAGUAUCAGAGGUGGAGGUGGGGCAGCUGGGACCCUCUAUCAUGCUGCUCAGGUAGUGUGUAUUGUGUGCUUGAAGUCCCAUAUUGUAUAGAAAUGUGCAAAAGCCCUGUUACCCUUGCCUUAUAUUAGGCUUUUUAACAAAUGAGUGAACUGUAGUCUUGCUAUUCUGCUGUAACUCUAUCAUUCACUCACUUAAGAGUCAAAUUUAGAGACUUGUUUAGCUCCCAAAAUGAAAAGAAAUGGUUUGCCCCACAGUAGCGGAUAGGUAAUAUGCUCUCCAACUUGUCUCUAUUCUUCCUGAGUACAUUUUUUUUCCUGGAGAAAAUCCCCUCUGUCUGCCCUCUUAAGAGAUGCAUAAGCUCUGUCCCAUCCUCUUCAGCUUUCUACACAUAUGGACAUGUAGUAUUGCUGUAAGAUCACAAAACGUGCUUACUGAGCUUUGGUCCACACUGUGGCAAAGGUGAGAUGGCUGCCUACUCAGCCAAUGAAUAAUGGCAUGAUCAGAAUCUCUGGCAAAUGCUCAACAGUUGUUGGUGGUGGGAGAAGCGCCUUUUCCUCAGUUUCCAAACAGCUGGAAGUAUUUGGAGGCUAUUGUGUUGUGCCAUGGACAUUGUUCUGAAACUCUUAAAGCUGAGAUGUGUUAUGGUUCAUGUGUCAUAAUCUUCCCAGGGACUGGUGACGAGGACUACAAGGGAGUCUGUACAGGGAUGUGUGCUGUUGAACUCCUCUAUCUAUCCCUUGGAAAAGGCAAUGGAGCAUGCUGGCAGCAGAUUUGACCCCAAGUUGGUGGGAUGAGUAAUAUGCCCAAGUGCAAGGCUGCCAUGCAGUGGGACAAAGGCAGGUUGGAGUGCCUGCCUGGGAUCUUCUGUAAUUCAGCAAGCGUGAAUGCCAAGUCCUGUCCAGCAGAGGAUGAGUCAGUUGAAUGUGAACAUGGCUAGGUUUUUGUACAGCAAGGUGUCAAGUUGUUCAUAGUAGUUAAUAUCUCAAAUUCAUAGGGCAAUAAUAAGAGCUGUGCAUGACCUCUGAGGGGGCAUUUCUGCCAGAAAGGGCCUCAAGGUGCUAGGUGUGAGCCAGUCUUGUGCUCUGGCAAGGGGAGGAGGCUCCUGGCAUCCUGGGUUGUGUAAGAGCACAGGCAGCAGGUGGGAGGAGGUGACAGCCUCCUCUCCUCCCUGUCUGAUGGGCCAUGGAACCUCCUGGGAGGAGGUUAUUAGGGGCUUCCCUCUUUUGCUAAAACUGCUUCAUAUUUUGCUGUGAUAAGUAUGUGCUCAGAGGCACUCAACCCUGGAGGAAAUAAUUUACUCCCAGGUCAGUCUGCUGACUUGUUUCUGUUGCAGUCCUUAAAUUAAUCCUUUCAGAGGUGUGUAUAACAAGCCAGAGAACUGGUAUUUUAUUGCACUUGUGGCCAGUAUUUGAAUUUCUACUUUCUAAUUUGAGUAUCUCUUCUCAAACACCACCAGUGUAAAGUUAAAGCUGUCUCUGCCUUUCGGCUUCAAUCUGUACUUGCAAUAAAGCUUUUAAGAGCACAGUGUCAUUGAAUCUGGUGGCCACUCAGACAUCUCUAUCCAUGAAGCAUGGUACAGAAUCUGUUAUACAAUGCAUGUAGCAAAUAUAGACCAAUUUCAGCUCUG